This 534-nucleotide transfer RNA is filed under the name uncultured Bacteroides sp. RNAcentral's name for it is "partial contains 16S ribosomal RNA, 16S-23S ribosomal RNA intergenic spacer, and 23S ribosomal RNA". The stretch from base 177 to 250 matches the Rfam family "tRNA". The record is from RNAcentral. Lineage: Bacteria; Pseudomonadati; Bacteroidota; Bacteroidia; Bacteroidales; Bacteroidaceae.
CUGGAACACCUCCUUUCUGGAGNGANGUUGAAAACGACGUUCAUUGGUUCUAAAAUUGUACUACUGGUACUUGUUUAUUUAUAGAAUAUAGAUCGACCGUCUAUAGUAAUAUAGAUAGAGAUAAACAAGAGAAAUGAAAGAAGCCGAGUCUAAUAAACAGACAAGGGUUUGAACUCAGUCCUAUAGCUCAGUUGGUUAGAGCGCUACACUGAUAAUGUAGAGGUCGGCAGUUCAACUCUGCUUGGGACUACCGACAGAUAGAUAUUUUAUCUUGUAUGAUUGGGGGAUUAGCUCAGCUGGCUAGAGCAUCUGCCUUGCACGCAGAGGGUCAACGGUUCGAAUCCGUUAUUCUCCACUCCGAUACCGCAACCUAACAUGCUUGCGUGUAAUCAAACGAUCUUUGACAUGAUGUACAGAAAAAAGUAAAUUUAGUAAGAGCUAAAAGUAUAUAUCGAACCAUUGGGUUCAUCUCCUUUCAAAGGAAGUGAUCCCUGGCGAUAAAAGNAANNANAUAAGGGCGCACGGUGGAUGCCU